Molecule: long non-coding RNA, 207 nt
Filed under: Gossypium barbadense (sea-island cotton)
Lineage: Eukaryota; Viridiplantae; Streptophyta; Magnoliopsida; Malvales; Malvaceae
Description: long non-coding RNA (GBAR_LNC007495)
Source: RNAcentral
ACUAUUUAUCUACAUCUGUUAUGUUAUGAUAAGCUUUGGUUUUGAUAUUUGUAUAUAUGUCUGAUUGAUUUUUGUAUGAUAUGUUACACACUGAGUUUCGAAAACUCACUUUUUGUUGUCUGUCAUUUUCAAGUAACCCUUAGACUUAAGGUGGGUCAAAGCGACAAAGCUCCGUUAAAACUUAACUAGUUAAUUAUUCUAUUUGCC